AUUAAGAUGGCUGAUAUAGGCGGUAAACUGUAAAUUUACUAAUGAAUAAAUUAUUCUCUUAAUA
RNAcentral lists this transfer RNA (64 nucleotides) under Hishimonoides recurvatis. RNAcentral describes it as "tRNA-Tyr". The record is from RNAcentral. Lineage: Eukaryota; Metazoa; Arthropoda; Insecta; Hemiptera; Cicadellidae.